This 908-nucleotide ribosomal RNA is filed under the name Agaricus badiosquamulosus. Its description in RNAcentral is "Agaricus sp. MA-2022a partial large subunit ribosomal RNA". It matches the Rfam family "Eukaryotic large subunit ribosomal RNA", at positions 37 to 932 of the family's 3401-position model. Lineage: Eukaryota; Fungi; Basidiomycota; Agaricomycetes; Agaricales; Agaricaceae. The record is from RNAcentral.
AGCAUAUCAAUAAGCGGAGGAAAAGAAACUAACAAGGAUUCCCCUAGUAACUGCGAGUGAAGCGGGAAAAGCUCAAAUUUAAAAUCUGGCAGUCUCUGGCUGUCCGAGUUGUAAUCUAGAGAAGUAAUGCCCGUACUGGACCGUGUAUAAGUCUCCUGGGAUGGGGCGUCAUAGAGGGUGAGAAUCCCGUCUUUGACACGGACUACCAGUGCAUUGUGGUAUGCUCUCAAAGAGUCGAGUUGUUUGGGAAUGCAGCUCAAAAUGGGUGGUAAAUUCCAUCUAAAGCUAAAUAUUGGCGAGAGACCGAUAGCGAACAAGUACCGUGAGGGAAAGAUGAAAAGAACUUUGGAAAGAGAGUUAAACAGUACGUGAAAUUGCUGAAAGGGAAACGCUUGAAGUCAGUCGCGUUGGCCGGGAAUCAGCCUUGCUUUUGCUUGGUGUACUUUCUGGUUGACGGGUCAGCAUCAAUUUUGACCGCUGGAAAAAGACCUGGGGAAUGUGGCAGCUUCGGCUGUGUUAUAGCCCCUAGUCGCAUACAGUGGUUGGGAUUGAGGAACUCAGCACGCCGCAAGGCCGGGUUUCGACCACGUUCGUGCUUAGGAUGCUGGCAUAAUGGCUUUAAGCGACCCGUCUUGAAACACGGACCAAGGAGUCUAACAUGCCUGCGAGUAUUUGGGUGGAAAACCCAAGUGCGUAAUGAAAGUGAAAGUUGAGAUCCCUGUCGUGGGGAGCAUCGACGCCCGGACCAGAACUUUUGGGACGGAUCCGCGGUGGAGCAUGUAUGUUGGGACCCGAAAGAUGGUGAACUAUGCCUGAAUAGGGUGAAGCCAGAGGAAACUCUGGUGGAGGCUCGUAGCGAUUCUGACGUGCAAAUCGAUCGUCAAAUUUGGGUAUAGGGGCGAAAGACU